Molecule: ribosomal RNA, 484 nt
Filed under: uncultured bacterium
Lineage: Bacteria
Description: partial 16S ribosomal RNA
Rfam family: Bacterial small subunit ribosomal RNA
Source: RNAcentral
AUUGAACGCUGGCGGAAUGCCUUACACAUGCAAGUCGAACGGCAGCACGGGGGCAACCCUGGCGGCGAGUGGUGAACGGGUGAGUAAUACAUCGGAACGUGCCCGGUCGCGGGGGAUAACGUAGUGAAAGCUACGCAAAUACCGCAUACGAUCUGAGGAUGAAAGCGGGGGACCUUGGGGUCUAGCGCCUUGGGAGCAGGCGAUGUCAGAUUAGGUAGUUGGUGGGAUAAAGGCCUACAAAGCCGACGAUCUGUAGCUGGUCUGAGAGGACGACCAGCCACACUGUGACUGAGACACGGCCCAGACUCCUACGGGAGGCAGCAGUGGGGAAUUUUGGACAAUGGGCGCAAGCCUGAUCCAGCCAUACCGCGUGCAGGACGAAGGCCUUCGGGUUGUAAACUGCUUUUGUCUGGAACGAAAAGGCGCUGGCUAAUACCUGGGGCUCAUGACGGUACCGGAAGAAUAAGCACCGGCUAACUACGUG